This 468-nucleotide ribosomal RNA is filed under the name uncultured bacterium. RNAcentral describes it as "partial 16S ribosomal RNA". It matches the Rfam family "Bacterial small subunit ribosomal RNA", at positions 28 to 507 of the family's 1533-position model. The record is from RNAcentral.
GACGAACGCUGGCGGCGUGCUUAACACAUGCAAGUCGAACGGAAAGGCCCUGCUUUUGUGGGGUGCUCGAGUGGCGAACGGGUGAGUAACACGUGAGUAACCUGCCCUUGACUUUGGGAUAACUUCAGGAAACUGGGGCUAAUACCGGAUAGGAGCUCCUGCUGCAUGGUGGGGGUUGGAAAGUUUCGGCGGUUGGGGAUAGACUCGCGGCUUAUCAGCUUGUUGGUGGGGUAGUGGCUUACCAAGGCUUUGACGGGUAGCCGGCCUGAGAGGGUGACCGGCCACAUUGGGACUGAGAUACGGCCCAGACUCCUACGGGAGGCAGCAGUGGGGAAUAUUGCACAAUGGGCGGAAGCCUGAUGCAGCAACGCCGCGUGCGGGAUGACGGCCUUCGGGUUGUAAACCGCUUUCGCCUGUGACGAAGCGUGAGUGAUGGUAAUGGGUAAAGAAGCACCGGCUAACUACGUG